Molecule: long non-coding RNA, 524 nt
Organism: Thalassophryne amazonica
Lineage: Eukaryota; Metazoa; Chordata; Actinopteri; Batrachoidiformes; Batrachoididae
Exons: 2
Source: RefSeq, a predicted model, not a curated record
AGGCAGACACAACCUAAAAGAUGUUUAAUUCCCUCUCACUCCAAUCAGGUAGUUCCAAUGCUUGCCACUUUUAAAUUAUGCAAUUAAUAUCAGGAGGAGAAGAAUGGCAUCAUUUAUAAUGUUGGGAGUGGAGAUGGGCAGUAUACAUGGCCAGGGGAACAGGGCCAGGGGUGCCCCGCUCAGCCUACAAGAAUACAUUCAAAAAGGCUACACGCAAUAUUUAAGCAGCAUUAAAUUUACGUUUCAUUUAAAACCACUACUCUGUUGCAGGGCACCGAUAUAAGCCAUACACAUGCACAUAAAUGAUCAGGAAUGCUUAUCAAAAACCUCAAGUAUGAAAUUGUGUAAAUAACAGGGAAAGUACUGUGUAGGGAUUAUGUCACGUAGUCCUACGUAGACCUGAGUAGAAAUUUGACUUACCUUUAUUUUUGUGAAGACAAAUGAGCAGUGACAAGCUUUAAGCUGGGCCUCCAGUCUCUCAAGACUCAAUACAGUCUUACUGUUUAAAAAAAAAAAAAAAAAAA